This 1098-nucleotide long non-coding RNA is filed under the name Piliocolobus tephrosceles (Ugandan red Colobus). Its description in RNAcentral is "lncRNA (ENSPTEG00000007259.1)". The record is from RNAcentral. Lineage: Eukaryota; Metazoa; Chordata; Mammalia; Primates; Cercopithecidae.
AUUGCUCAUGCUGAAAUAACGCUACAGCUGUGAUCCGUGGGGCUGAGUUUUGGACACUGGCUCGAGUGACAGGUGUACUCGUUGUUUGCCCAGCUCGGCUGAAAUUGUGAUGCCUAACUCAAAUGUUUUCCCAAUUAACUGGUGAGGAUUCUGGAGCCAGCUAGGAAAGGGCCUUUUGCCACAAGGACGGAAGACAUGUGUGCUCAGCCUUCAACAAAAAUGUCAGCCUUAGGGGAGAAUGGAGCCGUUGCUCCCUGAUCGUAAAAACAAGAAAAUGGAGAUGGACCUGCAAUGUCCAGAAAGGUAGGGAAAAGAGACAAUCUAAUUGUGACCAAACCCUUCUAGGUUCUAAAGCAAACAGGUCUGUCCUAUAGUUCAGCUCUUGGAGGAUUUUAGGGAUUGAAGCAAGUCCAGAAUUCUAGGAAAUGUGUCACCAAAAUUGGUAUUAUUAGAGAAAGUGGCACAAAGCUACAAGUGCAGAGUCUGAUCUGUAACAUGCUAAUUACAUCUAUUUUUAUCCCAGGGUUGCAGUGACCUAACAUCAAGAAAUAAAAACUCUGGAAAACUAGCCCUUCGCAUAUAGAAGGAUCCUCCCAAAGAGCUGGAGCUCCUCUGCCCACAGCCUCCCCCAUCGGAUCAGACCUACAGUAGAAGACAGCAAGGAGUAAGCACUGUAAGCUCACAAACACCAAACUGCCCUAGGAUGAACGAUUUCGUAAGAGCGCUCCAGAAUGACUGGAUCCCAUCAGGAACAUUUCCAAGGACUCCCACUCAGAAAGGAGAACCCUCCUAAACCCCACCCUGGCCAUUUGUUUUGCAAAACAAAAUGAUCUAAUGUGCUUUCCCUUUAGCAGCUAAAACUGCUUAAUUAUAAAUAGCUAGAAGUUUUCUGGCAAUCCAACUUUACAAAAUUUUCCCCUAACGUCUGGCAUUUGUUUUUGGGUUCUGCCCUGAGUCUUCUAAGCAUUUGCUUGGAAAGCUGUUGCACUUUCCCAGGCAAAAUGUCAAAAUCAACAUUCAAAAAGCUUGCCUUGAGUAAUUUCUAGGAUUCUGCACUAAGAAGGUUUUAUAGUUAGGGGGCACUUUGCUUCGCUGAAC